RNAcentral lists this ribosomal RNA (254 nucleotides) under uncultured bacterium. RNAcentral's name for it is "partial 16S ribosomal RNA". It matches the Rfam family "Bacterial small subunit ribosomal RNA", at positions 524 to 776 of the family's 1533-position model. The record is from RNAcentral.
CACGUAGGCACCAAGCGUUGUCCGGAUUUAUUGGGCGUAAAGAGCUCGUAGGCGGUUCGGUAAGUCGGGUGUGAAAACUUUGGGCUCAACCCAAAGCCUGCACUCGAUACUGCUGUGACUUGAGUCCGGUAGGGGAGUGGGGAAUUCCUGGUGUAGCGGUGGAAUGCGCAGAUAUCAGGAGGAACACCGGUGGCGAAGGCGCCACUCUGGGCCGGUACUGACGCUGAGGAGCGAAAGCGUGGGGAGCGAUCCGG